GACGAACGCUGGCGGCGUGCUUAACACAUGCAAGUCGAACGGUGAAGCCCUUCGGGGUGGAUCAGUGGCGAACGGGUGAGUAACACGUGAGCAACCUGCCCCUGGCUCUGGGACAACCACUGGAAACGGUGGCUAAUACCGGAUACGACCCGCCUCGGCAUCGAGUGUGGGUGGAAAGUUUUUCGGCUGGAGAUGGGCUCGCGGCCUAUCAGCUUGUUGGUGAGGUGAAGGCUCACCAAGGCGACGACGGGUAGCCGGCCUGAGAGGGCGACCGGCCACACUGGGACUGAGACACGGCCCAGACUCCUACGGGAGGCAGCAGUGGGGAAUAUUGCACAAUGGGCGAAAGCCUGAUGCAGCGACGCCGCGUGAGGGAUGACGGCCUUCGGGUUGUAAACCUCUUUCAGCUCCGAAGAAGCGAAAGUGACGGUAGGAGCAGAAGAAGCACCGGCUAACUACGUG
This 462-nucleotide ribosomal RNA is filed under the name uncultured bacterium. RNAcentral describes it as "partial 16S ribosomal RNA". It matches the Rfam family "Bacterial small subunit ribosomal RNA", at positions 28 to 507 of the family's 1533-position model. The record is from RNAcentral.